GACAAAAUGUUUGCAAGGAGGAAGAUGUUAGAGAAGAUUGGUGUUUCAAAGAUUUCCUUGCUGGAGAGAAGAGAGGCAUGGAUGGGCCUGGGGAGAGAAGCCAUGUGUCCUGCUUCCUAGCAGAACCCCAGGUGAAACUCUUCUCCUCUGAGAAGCCACGAGCCUGCCUCUCCAGUGUGCAGUGUGAAUCUAAACCUAGGGUUCAUGAUAAAGGCAGGAUAGACUGAUGCCAGGGACUUAAUUCCAAAAACUAACUGUAAUUAACCAUGAGGAGGACCCGAGAGUGAGGACUGUGAUUCUCUAACCUGGACCAAGCCGAUUAUUUGGGAUGACUGAAGGUCAUGAGUUCCUCUCCCAGAACAGCAGAGGAACUCAAAGCUGUCCCUUGAGAGGAAGCCUCUCUACCUUCUGAUGCCCCCUUACCCUGUGCAGGGAGGAUAUAAAGAUGGAUUUUGAAUAGCCCCUGCUGAGUUAUCAUCACUAGACCUGGCCUACAAGCAAUGCAUAAUGGAGUUCUUCAGAUUGAAAGGAAAAGAUACUAGAUAGUAGAUCAAAGCUGCAUAAAGAAAUAUCAAUCUCCAUUAAAGACUGCAUGUUUGUGCUGAGGUGCAAAUUCUCAGAGACUCCCAAAGAAAUAAAAGAAACUGGAACUGCCAACAGAAUCCCAGGACAAUAGCUGCUAAGCUGUAGCCAUUUCCUCCCAAAGUUGGAAAUCCCUAUCGCUUCACCUCCUGAGGAUCAGCUUAGGUCUAUAAGCACCUUGAUCUUCAAGUGCUUCAACUUAAAAGUACUGAUACUCUAAAGAUGACUUGAAGAGGAGAGCUGGAUCAUUCUGAGAACCAGAAAGAAGUCCUAGUAAAAACUGGAGUCCACUUUCUCAGAUCCCAUGGAACAUCACAGGGCUGUACCACUUGGACUUCUGUGGAUGGAUGCAUCUUUUAAACGUAAAUUGAGCAUUCCUAUCGAAGAAUUCAGUGUAUGUGUAUGCAUUUGCUUUCACCUGCAUAUGGUACAUCAGGAAGUAUAAACAGAAAACUGCUUUCCAUGGAGGGGAA
Long non-coding RNA from Choloepus didactylus (southern two-toed sloth), 1055 nucleotides. RefSeq lists it as uncharacterized. The record is from RefSeq and is a predicted model, not a curated record. The transcript has 6 exons. NCBI's taxonomy places the organism in Eukaryota, Metazoa, Chordata, Mammalia, Pilosa, Megalonychidae.